Molecule: unclassified non-coding RNA, 1600 nt
Filed under: Homarus americanus (American lobster)
Lineage: Eukaryota; Metazoa; Arthropoda; Malacostraca; Decapoda; Nephropidae
Description: single-stranded DNA-binding protein 3-like, transcript variant X1
Source: RNAcentral
UGGCCUCGGACCCCCUCCCCCGCUCCCGAGUCGACUUGGCUACAGUACAGUGUUCAACAUGUACGCUAAGGGGAAGGGCUCGUCCGUGCCCUCCGAUGCGCAAGCCAGGGAGAAAUUGGCGUUAUAUGUGUACGAAUAUUUACUACACGUUGGUGCCCAGAAAGCUGCACAGACCUUCCUUUCUGAGAUAAGAUGGGAGAAAAAUAUAACUUUAGGAGAGCCGCCGGGGUUCCUGCACUCCUGGUGGUGUGUGUUCUGGGACCUGUAUUGUGCGGCACCGGAGAGGCGGGACACGUGUGAACACUCGAGUGAAGCCAAAGCCUUCCACGACUAUGGAUUUGUAAACUCAGGCUAUGGAGUCAACGGUAUAGCUCAUGUAAGUAGCCAGUCCUGCCCCCAACCUGUACUGCCGGGGAAUGCUGGCCCCGCACCAUCACCGUUAGGUCAGAUGCCUCCUAGUGACGGCAUGGGUCCAGGAGGUCCUAUGCCGCCUGGCUUCUUUCCGCCAUUCAUGUCUCCACGAUAUCCAGGCGGGCCUCGGCCGGGAGUUAGGAUGCCACAGAUGCACAACGACUUCAACGGGCCUCCAGGACAACCGAUUAUGCCCAACAGUAUGGACCCCACUCGUCAGGGAGAUGGAGACUUUGUUGGUUGGCAAGGUAGGAACUCGCCUGGCAAGUUCCCUCUCCACCAAUCAGAUCUUGGAUUGAUCCAUCUCCAUCAGUCAGAGCUCAGGAGUCCACCCGGGAUGAACCCCCGAAUGGCAGGUCCACGAGGACCAGCCAUGGGACCAGGACCAGGUAUGGGUCCCAUGGGUCCAGGAGCAUAUGCCCCAGGAAUGAGGGGACCACCACCUAGCAGUAUGGGUCCUGCUGGGCCAGGUGGACCAGGAGGACCAGGACCUGGGGGCCCUGGGCCAGGCAUGCCUCCAAUGACUAUGGGAGGGCCUGGCCCUAGACAACCAUGGACGCCAAACACAUCUACCCCUAUGAGUUACUCCUCGUCCUCACCUGGGACCUACGGUGGCAUGAUGGGUCCACCGGGGUCUGCUGGCCCACCUGGUCCUGGCACACCCAUCAUGCCCAGUCCUCAAGGGUCGAGUGGAGCUUUCUCUCCCGCCCGCCUGCCUCCCACCCCGCGGCCAGACACAUCAAGCAGUGGGGCUGAUGGAAUGUUCCCAAUGAUGAAGCCAGUACCUGGAGGAGGGAUGCCUGGGGACUUCCCUCUGGGUAGUGGCCCUGAUGGGCCCAUGGGUGGCCCUAUGGGCCCCAACACCAUGGGGCCUGUUAUGAAUGGUGAUGGCUUGGAUGGCAUGAAGAACUCACCUGCUAAUGGUCCUGGGACGCCGCGGGACGACGGAGGCGGCAUGGGGGACUACAAUCUGGGAGGCUUCGGGGGCCCACAGGAGAGUAUAUUUAGAUGAAUGCUAUAGUGAAAAUGGAUCUUCUUCUUCAUUGGAAACUGGAUCAUGAACUUAAACAGGACCAGAAUGAGUCGGCUGCCAUUUUAAAGAUCAAGGAGAGUAUGCAAGAAGAAGCAAAGCGAUUUGAAAAGGACGUUCCACCAGAUCAUCCAGACUACUUUAUGCCGUGACGUGACC